RNAcentral lists this ribosomal RNA (496 nucleotides) under uncultured bacterium. Its description in RNAcentral is "partial 16S ribosomal RNA". It matches the Rfam family "Bacterial small subunit ribosomal RNA", at positions 29 to 507 of the family's 1533-position model. The record is from RNAcentral.
ACGAACGCUGGCGGCGUGCCUAAUACCUGCAAGUUGAGCGCUGAAGGUUGGUACUUGUACCAACUGGAUGAGCAGCGAACGGGUGAGUAACGCGUGGGGAAUCUGCCUUUGAGCGGGGGACAACAUUUGGAAACGAAUGCUAAUACCGCAUAAAAACUUUAAACACAAGUUUUAAGUUUGAAAGAUGCAAUUGCAUCACUCAAAGAUGAUCCCGCGUUGUAUUAGCUAGUUGGUGAGGUAAAGGCUCACCAAGGCGAUGAUACAUAGCCGACCUGAGAGGGUGAUCGGCCACAUUGGGACUGAGACACGGCCCAAACUCCUACGGGAGGCAGCAGUAGGGAAUCUUCGGCAAUGGACGAAAGUCUGACCGAGCAACGCCGCGGGAGUGAAGAAGGUUUUCGGAUCGUAAAACUCUGUUGGUAGAGAAGAACGUUGGUGAGAGUGGAAAGCUCAUCAAGUGACGGUAACUACCCAGAAAGGGACGGCUAACUACGUG